UACGUAGGGUGCGAGCGUUGUCCGGAAUUAUUGGGCGUAAAGAGCUCGUAGGCGGUGUGUCACGUCGGCCGUGAAAACCUGCAGCUUAACUGUGGGCGUGCGGUCGAUACGGGCAUCACUGGAGUUCGGCAGGGGAGACUGGAAUUCCUGGUGUAGCGGUGAAAUGCGCAGAUAUCAGGAGGAACACCGGUGGCGAAGGCGACUACCUGGCCUGUUCUUGACGCUGAGGCGCGAAAGCUAGGGGAGCAAACGGG
This 254-nucleotide ribosomal RNA is filed under the name uncultured bacterium. Its description in RNAcentral is "partial 16S ribosomal RNA". It matches the Rfam family "Bacterial small subunit ribosomal RNA", at positions 524 to 776 of the family's 1533-position model. The record is from RNAcentral.